Molecule: long non-coding RNA, 1453 nt
Filed under: Bemisia tabaci
Lineage: Eukaryota; Metazoa; Arthropoda; Insecta; Hemiptera; Aleyrodidae
Description: lncRNA ENSSSA3NGG010560
Source: RNAcentral
GAUGCUUAAAUUCAAUGAUUAGGUGAUCAAGUAAAAAGUGCGCGAUUACACGGUUCGCUAUCUCAUUUUUUACCCCUCUCCUCAGGAGCCUGGUUAUUAUGUACAAAGAUACAUACUUUUUUGCAGUAUGUAUCUAGAUGUUUGAGGUACAUAGGUAUGGAGGUACAAACAUCACCUGAUGCUCUUCAAUGAUUAGGUGAUCGAGUAAAAAGUGCGGGAUUACACGGUUCCGUAUCUCAUUUUUUACCCCUCUCCUCAGGAGCCUGGUUACUAUGUACAGAUAUACAUCUCAGUUGAUGUAUGUUUAUAGAUAAUUGAGGUAUUCGAACAUGACAAACAUCACGUAAGGCUCAAAUUUAAUGUUUAGGUGAUCGUGUGAAAGGUGCGCGAUUUCACUUUUGCUUUACUUGUCUGUUACACUUUUUCGAGGUGGUGGGUUUCAUAAAAAUUGCUCUCUCUGUGAGCCUGGGUACUAUGUACAGAGAUGCAUCUCGUGUUGCUGUGUAUAUCCAGAUUAUUGAGGUAUCUGACCAUGACAAACAUCACCUGAGGCUCUUUAAUGUUUAGGUGAUCGUGUGAAAGUUGCUAACUGUGCGGUAGAAUAGUGAUUGAGGUUUUACACGUGACGAACAUGAUGCGACUUAACCUCAAAUCAGCGGAAUUCCUCAGCUGAUGACCGAAGGGUGGAUAUCACUGGUGAUGCUCGAAAGGACGGUGAUAUUUUGCUGAGAUGACGGAUAGUGUUGUGCGGUUGCAGACGGAAAGUGCGAUGAUUUCUACGAGAAAUCUUCUGGUUUGCUUGUGAUGUUCAGCGUCACCGAUGAAGAACGCGCGGGUGUUUCAUCGUGGGUGUGUAAUUUGACGUGUGCUGAGUUAAUGGAACUUCACGUUGAAAGUAUACGUCAUUCGCAAGGCUGAGGAGCGCCGAAGGAGCACAUUUCAUUUUCCAAAUAUUCGUUAUAGUCGGGGAACGUGCACUUUACGGAUAGCAGUGAAACAUGAUCCUAGAUGCCCUGCUGCGCCUGGCUCUGGUUGGCGUUCUGAUGAGCUCCCCGAUGACGUCACAGCACACGACUCACCCCGAAUCAGCCUCGCUCAACGCCACAUCGUCGGCGGGAACGCGACGUGUCGUCUUAGCGAGUUCCGCUGUCAGAAUGGCAAGUGCGUCCCUCUCAGCCAGGUCUGCAAUCAUCUCAAUGAAUGUGGGGAUGGCUCCGACGAACUCAAAUACUGCACACCCUGUAACAAAACCUAUUAUGGAGAUGUUGGAAGGACCCAUGAAAUAGAGCUUCACCGACCAAAAGAAGACCGGUUACCCUACCUAUGCUAUCUAACAUUUAAAGCGGCUGGGAAUUCAUACGGAAUUUGAUACAGGUACUUGCAUCAUGAAAAUUUGGUUACUGAACAUAUAGUUAUCAUUUCAGAUACCACAAAUUUAAACAAGUUAAUUAAU